AGGUCUUGACAUCCUUUGACCACUCUAGAGAUAGAGCUUUCCCUUCGGGGACAAAGUGACAGGUGGUGCAUGGUUGUCGUCAGCUCGUGUCGUGAGAUGUUGGGUUAAGUCCCGCAACGAGCGCAACCCUUAUUACUAGUUGCCAGCAUUUAGUUGGGCACUCUAGUGAGACUGCCGGUGACAAACCGGAGGAAGGUGGGGACGACGUCAAAUCAUCAUGCCCCUUAUGACCUGGGCUACACACGUGCUACAAUGGAUGGUACAACGAGUUGCGAGACCGCGAGGUUUAGCUAAUCUCUUAAAACCAUUCUCAGUUCGGAUUGUAGGCUGCAACUCGCCUACAUGAAGCCGGAAUCGCUAGUAAUCGCGGAUCAGCAUGCCGCGGUGAAUACGUUCCCGGGCCUU
This 405-nucleotide ribosomal RNA is filed under the name uncultured Lactobacillus sp. RNAcentral's name for it is "bacterial SSU rRNA". It matches the Rfam family "Bacterial small subunit ribosomal RNA", at positions 976 to 1382 of the family's 1533-position model. The record is from RNAcentral. Lineage: Bacteria; Bacillati; Bacillota; Bacilli; Lactobacillales; Lactobacillaceae.